Molecule: ribosomal RNA, 87 nt
Filed under: Brachythecium rutabulum
Lineage: Eukaryota; Viridiplantae; Streptophyta; Bryopsida; Hypnales; Brachytheciaceae
Description: partial 5.8S ribosomal RNA
Rfam family: 5.8S ribosomal RNA
About the family: 5.8S ribosomal RNA (5.8S rRNA) is a component of the large subunit of the eukaryotic ribosome.
Source: RNAcentral
UGAUUGCAGAAUUCCGCGAAUCAUCGAGUCUUUGAACGCAAGUUGCGCCCGAGGCUUGUCCGAGGGCAUUUCCGCUAGAGCGUCACC